Long non-coding RNA from Corvus hawaiiensis (hawaiian crow), 3486 nucleotides. RefSeq lists it as uncharacterized. The record is from RefSeq and is a predicted model, not a curated record. The transcript has 2 exons. NCBI's taxonomy places the organism in Eukaryota, Metazoa, Chordata, Aves, Passeriformes, Corvidae.
AUAGAUUUGUGCCCAAGGACAGGAGGGUGGGUAUGAGGUCAUUACAAAGAAACAAGGUGUAACACAUCCAUAUGUUCUAUUGUGGGGAUUAAAUCCAUAGCAGGCUGCUAAUACUCCUAUUAAUUUCUAUUUUUCAUUGUUGUUUGCACAUUUGUCAAGCUCCGAUGAAGGGAUAAUGAAGCGAGCUGAUGUUAACUGCAAAUUAAUCAGCCCUGUCUGUCUUGGAGUGUAACACAGGUUCCUGCUUGCUUCCCCUCUUCACUCAGGAACGAUAACACGCUUUUUACAUCGCCACCAGGAGAACCUCCUGGAUGCUGCGACGGAGCAGAGAAAGAGAGGAAAAACAAAGAAUGAGAGACACCCUGGCUGAGAAACUUUCAAUUCUCCUUGAAACUGUCGAGUUUGAAUUGUAAGAAAGCUGAGGAAGCUGAGCUCGUGCUAAUUUUGCAAGAGGAGCUUGUUGGAAACGCCGUGUGGGCCAUGGGCAGAUCCUUGAGGCACCAGGAGAUCACAGAGCUGGAGAGCCCCUAAAAGAGCCACGGAAGCACGAUGCAAACAGCCUCCUCUUACCGCCUUUGGGAAUGCUCAGGUCUCAGGUGGAUUUGUGUCCUCAGGGAGGUUCUGGCUCAGGGGAAGCAUGGGAGAUGCUUGGUUGGAUGUCUCGGGAGCUGCUGCACACUGACCUGUUGGUUUGUCCUAGCUGCUUUACACCAGCAGUAUAAGACAUACAAUGGGUAUUUUUUUCCCACCUCCCACCUUUGCAGUCUCCCAGGGCUCCCAUUUGGACUCCAGGGUCCCACUGAGACCAUGACAGAAAUGUUUUAAGUGCUGUUCUAAAGCUGGGUUUAGCAGCAUAGAUGCUCUUUAACGCACAGCAUUUCAGAGAGCGUGUCCCUUUCUCUCCGUUACGGAAUGGCUGUCUGCAGGGAUGGAAUUCCAGCUCCCAUCUCACCACACCAUUAUUGACAGGCGUGCUUGGUGCAUUAUUUAGGUGAUAUAUGGCACGUGCCACAUGGGAACCACCAGGACAGGGAAAGUGUUGUCAUCCCCAACAGGCCCAGGGAUCCCGCCCCUGCAUCAGGAGGGUGACAGAGCCUUGGAAGGGCAUUCAGGGAGUGAUGAGCAGUGUUGGUACACAAGGGGACCAUCAUGAGGUUCCCACGUGGAAGAGUCCAGCAGGACACAUGCAGGGAGUCCCUGGGGGUGGCUGGUCUUGUGGUGUUUCCUGGUCACUGCUGGAGGGUGGUUGCUGAGGGCACCCACACUUCUGGCUCUGGCACGGGCUGGCCAGAGAAGCUGUGUCUGCCUCAUCCCUGGAAGUGCUGGAUGGGGCUUGGAGCAGCCUGGUCCAGUGGAAAGUGUCCCUGCCCAUGGCAGGAGGUGGAACUGGGUGACCUUGAAGGUCCUCCCAACCCAAGCCAUCCUGAGUUUCUGUGGGUUCACAGAUACAAACGGAGGUGUUGGCCAGGGCCAGUGAUGCUGAUAAGAGUCAAGGAAACACUACAGAAGCAGUGUCUCCAGACUGGUCUGAUUCCUACAGCCUUUGGCUGUCCCAGCACAGGACUCCAGAGGGGAGGGAAGCUCAGCUGAAGAUGCUCUGUGACAGCCUCAGAGGGAAUCUGGUCUGAUGGUCCUCUUGAACUGCUGCAUCUCCUGCUCUCAGAGCGCACUGGCAGCACUUGUGAAAUAGGAAAAGCCUGCAGAGCCUGUGGUGCUCUGUGUGAGGUGAGGGAUUCAUUCCCACUGCUCCAGGAAGCUCAUAUAGGGAAGAUUUCCUGCACUAUUGUAAGAGCCAUAAUGUGGUCUUAAAAGAAACCCAAUGACUGUGCCUCUGUGGGAAGCACAGGUGAGGACUCCCGAGUUCCAUGAGCAGCGGGAGGGCUCUGACCCACCUUCAUUAGUGCUGCUGUCUGUGCGAGGUGAGUAAUUGCAGCACCCGCUGUGCUGAGGAGCCUCCUGGAGAGGUUCAAUUAGGAGGCAGCAGCUGAUGAGCUGCAGUGUGGGGAGCUCGGGGAGCCUUUCCCAGAUAAGUCACAGGAGCCAGCCCUUGUACCACACUCGUCACUGGCUGGUGUCAAAGUGCUCCGUGAAGUGCUGCUGCCCUUACACAGAUGAGCAAAAAGGCUUCCCAGGGCUGCCUGGAGGGCCAGAUGUGGAGAGGGGCUUCUGUGUCCUGGAGCAGGAUCCCUGGCCUCCGUGUUGGCACAGGGAGACGUGUACAAGUCCUGGCUGGAAAACAGCAAAGCAUCAUCUGGCCCUUGCAGCCCAAAAGGCAGAGGUAAAUAAGAUGUGGGAAUAAAGUCCUGGACGGAUUUCAACCACCCCUGUUGUCUCUGGGGAGAUUGACAGUACCUCCAUCAGCUCUUGGAAGCUGUCCCCCCCUUUGCCUUCACUCCAUGGGAAAAUCUCCGUCUCCCACUCGUCUUCAGCUUCUUCUACUGCAGGGAGGGGCUGCAGCUGCUUCCAGCACAGGACCUCCAAGUAGACACGGCUGCUCUGCUUCCCUGGUGCGUUUCAGCAGCCCUUUCCAGCUCCACCAAUCAUCCAUCUUGGCCCUCUACCCCUCCAGAGCUACUGGAAUCUGUGCUGCUGUCUCUUCUCAGGGCCAGUGUCUCCCAGGGGGUUCCCCUGGGGUCCUGGCUCUCUCACAAACCAGAACAGGUGGUUCAUGGCAAAUAGACUUCAUCCUUUCCACCAAGGCCAGCAGUUUCUGGGUGUUGGUAGCCUGAGGCUACCUUGUCCAGGUGGAAAUUGUCUUCUGCACUCAGGAGCUGCAGGGUAUAAACCCCAAAGGUGCCAAUGAGCUGAAAGAGCAGGAGCUGUGCUUCGGUGUAAAUGAACCCUGCUGACUGCUGUUCUGUAUCUGCCUGUGCUGCUGCUUUAUGAUGUCUGUGCUUUUCUAUCUCCAGCGUGUUGCUGCAGAGGUCCCCGUUUGCCUUGAAGCUCAGAGCAAAGGAAUUUGAAAAGGUGUGCCAGGGAAAGCUCCCGUGAACUCCUGACAAGGAGGUCAGAGAGGACACAGGAGAUUCUGGAGGUCACAAGAACAGCAGAGAAGCAAAAUAUCACCUUGGGGUGUCUGUGGCUGUGUCCCUCUGAAGUGACAGUCCUGAUCCUGUGCCUGCCACCAAACUCCACCAGCCUGGGCAUCCAGUGACCAAAAGUUGCUGCAGCACCAGAGUCAGCCAAAGCCCCACCGGGGUGUUGGGAGAGGCUGGUGAUGAGGAGACUUCUGCCUGAUGGGAGGCAGGACAGUGAUUUCAUGGCUUUUUUUGGGCUCUGUGGUGUCUUGUAAUGAGAAGAUGCUCAAAAGUCUUGCCUGCCCUCUCAGCUUGCAGCGUGGGGGGAUGGAGGCUGAGGGAAAACCAGUGGGAAAAUGUUUACAAGCCUGAGUGAGGCCCCUCUAAAGGAGGAUUUAAUCUGCAGGAUGUUAUUAUCUCUGCUAGGUUUUCUGUAUCUUAGGUACUCAAUAAAUGAUUGCUAAAGUAA